Molecule: long non-coding RNA, 1088 nt
Organism: Mus musculus (house mouse)
Lineage: Eukaryota; Metazoa; Chordata; Mammalia; Rodentia; Muridae
Product: predicted gene, 36120
Exons: 4
Source: RefSeq, a predicted model, not a curated record
UCCAGGUUUCCAGAAUGCCUUUCCAGGCUAGAACCCAGGCUGUGAUCUGCUGGCCAGACACAACACAAAUUAAUCUCCUACAAGCCGGGAAUGAAGGAACAGCAUGUGAACCUGGUGCCCAUGAAGAUCAGAAGAGGAUGCUGGGCCUGGACUUGUGGAUGGUUAUGUGCUACCAUACUGGCUUUGGUCUCAAUCUCAUGCCAAUCCAGAUGCUGGGAUGUGGGAAGCCUAAGCUGACCUCAGAUUGAGAUCCUGAGUUCUCAGCUACCACACGGCAACUCACAACCAUCUGUAAUGGGAUCUGAUGCCCUCGUCUGCUGUGUCCGAAGAGAGCAGCAGUGUACUCACAUACAUAAAAUAAAGAAAUACAUCUUAAAAGCAAAACAACAACAACAAAACAAACAAACAAAAAAGAAAACCAGCUGCAGGAAGGAAGGCCCUAUUUUUGACAUGAAGGGACCCUGGAGGGUACAACAAUAAAAAGCAGUUCUCUACAGCCUGCAAAGACUGUCAUAGCCAAGCAGGUCCUCAGAAGGACUCAGCUCUGCGUUCCUGCAGUUUUCUGCCUGCUGGGAGCUUGCUCCUUCUCCACUAGCCAGCUACUGCUUCCAGGGUAAUUCGUUUCUGCCUCCACCCCCAGAGCCCUGCGACUCUAUGCUUCAAUACCUGCAAGAGCCAGGAAACCUGCUCCUACUGCUCCUGUCUGGCCCUGCAAAUUUGCUCUGCAAAGGACAGCUAUCAAUUGGCACCCCAAAGGCCCUGAGAACUUUUAGCUGUGACUUAGCCGAGCUAUAGCUUGGCUCUGGAGUAGCUGCCCGUUGUUACUGCUGCUCAUGGAAAAGUCAAACUUGUUUCGUCUAAAUCCCUUGUGGCCAUCUGUUUAAAAGUUGUUAAGAAAUCAGGUGUGGUGGAGCACACUUUUAAUCCCAGCACUCCAGAGGCAGAAGCAGGUGGGUCUCUGAGUUUGAGGCCAGUCUGGUCUAGAGUGAGUUCCAGGACAGCCAGGGCUACAAAGAGAAACCCUGCCUCCAAACCAAACCAAAAAAGUUGUUAAUCCUAAAUUGUUAAUAAAGUGCUUCCUCUUUGUA